This 939-nucleotide ribosomal RNA is filed under the name human gut metagenome. Its description in RNAcentral is "bacterial LSU rRNA". It matches the Rfam family "Bacterial large subunit ribosomal RNA", at positions 1685 to 2641 of the family's 2925-position model. The record is from RNAcentral.
GGCCAACGGGAGAAGGGUUGUUAAGGAACUCGGCAAAUUGACCCCGUAACUUCGGGAGAAGGGGUGCUCCAGAGAUGGAGCCGCAGAGAAUCGGCCCAAGCAACUGUUUACCAAAAACACAGGUUUGUGCUAAAUCGAAAGAUGACGUAUACGAGCUGACGCCUGCCCGGUGCUGGAAGGUUAAGAGGAGAUGUGCAAGCAUUGAAUCGAAGCCCCAGUGAACGGCGGCCGUAACUAUAACGGUCCUAAGGUAGCGAAAUUCCUUGUCAGGUAAGUUCUGACCCGCAUGAAAGGCGUAAUGAUUUGGGCACUGUCUCAACAGCCCGCCCGGCGAAAUUGUAGUACCGGUGAAGAUGCCGGUUACCCGCGACAAGACGGAAAGACCCCAUGGAGCUUUACUGUAGCCUAAUAUUGGGUUUCGAUGUUGCAUGCACAGGAUAGAUGGGACACUAGGAAACAAUCGCUUUGGCGGUUGCGGAGUGGCCGUUGGGAUACCAUCCUUGCGAUAUUGGAAUUCUAACCUGCGGCUCUGAAUCGAGUCGGGGGACAUUGUUAGGUGGGCAGUUUGACUGGGGCGGUCGCCUCCUAAAAAGUAACGGAGGCGUUCAAAGGUUCGCUCAGCUUGAACGGAAAUCAAGCAAAAGAGUGCAAACGCAGAAGCGAGCCUAACUGCGAGACUGACGGGUCGAGCAGUAACGAAAGUUGGAGUUAGUGAUCCGGUGGUAUGUGAGUGGAAAUGCCAUCGCUCAACGGAUAAAAGUUACCCUGGGGAUAACAGGCUGAUCUCCCCCAAGAGUCCACAUCGACGGGGAGGUUUGGCACCUCGAUGUCGGCUCAUCGCAUCCUGGGGCUGUAUUCGGUCCCAAGGGUUUGGCUGUUCGCCAAUUAAAGCGGUACGCGAGCUGGGUUCAGAACGUCGUGAGACAGUUCGGUCCCUAU